This 624-nucleotide ribosomal RNA is filed under the name uncultured fungus. RNAcentral describes it as "eukaryotic LSU rRNA". It matches the Rfam family "Eukaryotic large subunit ribosomal RNA", at positions 24 to 664 of the family's 3401-position model. Lineage: Eukaryota; Fungi. The record is from RNAcentral.
CCCGCUGAACUUAAGCAUAUCAAUAAGCGGAGGAAAAGAAACCAACCGGGAUUGCCUCAGUAACGGCGAGUGAAGCGGCAAGAGCUCAAAUUUGAAAUCUGGCCCCCUCGGGGGUCCGAGUUGUAAUUUGGAGAGGAUGCUUCGGGUUCGGUCCCGGUCCAAGUGCCCUGGGACGGGCCGUCGGAGAGGGUGAGAAUCCCGUCUGCGACCGGUGACUGGGCCUGGGUGAAGCUCCCUCGACGAGUCGAGUUGUUUGGGAAUGCAGCUCUAAAUGGGUGGUAAAUUCCAUCUAAAGCUAAAUAUUGGCCAGAGACCGAUAGCGCACAAGUAGAGUGAUCGAAAGAUGAAAAGCACUUUGGAAAGAGAGUUAAACAGUACGUGAAAUUGUUGAAAGGGAAGCGCUUGCAACCAGACUUGCGCGCUGUCGAUCAUCCGAGGUUUUCCCCGGUGCACUCGGCGGCGUUCAGGCCAGCAUCGGUUUCAGUGGUUGGAUAAAGGCCUUGGGAAUGUGGCUCCUCCGGGAGUGUUAUAGCCCUCGGUGCAAUGCAGCCUACUGGGACCGAGGACCGCGCUUCGGCUAGGAUGCUGGCGUAAUGGUUGUAAGCGACCCGUCUUGAAACACGG